RNAcentral lists this long non-coding RNA (685 nucleotides) under Dromaius novaehollandiae (emu). RNAcentral describes it as "lncRNA (ENSDNVG00000010821.1)". Lineage: Eukaryota; Metazoa; Chordata; Aves; Casuariiformes; Dromaiidae. The record is from RNAcentral.
CUGGAGUGCUUCUUGUAAAUCAAAUGAAUUAAGGAGGAUAAGUAACCUGCUCUGGUCUGUCUGUGAAACAAGAUCCAUUUAAAAUAAAGGCCUUGGAGGGAUACGGUAGAAAUCCACCGUCCGCAGGCGUGGAUGUCCCCGGAUGAUUCUAAUUGCAAUGUUGCCUUGUGACUGUGCCGAAUUAAGAAACAGAGCUGAGCUGAAAUUCCUGGACCGAAGGAUAUCACAGCUACUAUCAUCUCUUCAAAAAUGUCAAAGGAACCAGGGCUGAGCGUUUCUCCUGCUCCCACCUGUGCUUUGGGAUGCAAAAGAAUAACACUAACACACAGAGAGCACGACUUCCUCUUGGAUGCAUCUGGACCAGUUUAUUAGGCCAUUCACUGAGCCUGUGAUUGGUCUGCAAGCAGCUGAUGAUGAGCAGUGCCAAGAUAUGGUACUGGGCUGCUGAUCAAUUUUCUGUCUUUCAGAAGACUAGAUUAGUGAAACAUCACUCUCAUAAGCCACAGCUUCACCAUGAGGACAUUAGGCAGCCAAGAUUGUACAAAGUAUCCUCACCAGCAGUCUUCCACUCUCUGACAAAUCUUUUCUUCUUGAAGCACAUCUAGAACUUGGUCUAGACAGCUUGGCUAAAUUAGAAGUCUCGGAAGUAGGAUCUCACAAGGAGGUGUACUGGACAAACAUAACU